GGUUAAGCGACUAAGCGUACACGGUGGAUGCCCUGGCAGUCAGAGGCGAUGAAGGACGUGCUAAUCUGCGAUAAGCGCCGGUAAGGUGAUAUGAACCGUUAUAACCGGCGAUUUCCGAAUGGGGAAACCCAGUGUGACUCGUCACACUAUCAUUAACUGAAUCCAUAGGUUAAUGAGGCGAACCGGGGGAACUGAAACAUCUAAGUACCCCGAGGAAAAGAAAUCAACCGAGAUUCCCCCAGUAGCGGCGAGCGAACGGGGAGGAGCCCAGAGCCUGAAUCAGCAUGUGUGUUAGUGGAAGCGUCUGGAAAGGCGCGCGAUACAGGGUGACAGCCCCGUACACAAAAGCGCAUGUGCUGUGAGCUCGAUGAGUAGGGCGGGACACGUGGUAUCCUGUCUGAAUAUGGGGGGACCAUCCUCCAAGGCUAAAUACUCCUGACUGACCGAUAGUGAACCAGUACCGUGAGGGAAAGGCGAAAAGAACCCCGGCGAGGGGAGUGAAAAAGAACCUGAAACCGUGUACGUACAAGCAGUGGGAGCACCCUUUGGGGUGUGACUGCGUACCUUUUGUAUAAUGGGUCAGCGACUUAUAUUCUGUAGCAAGGUUAACCGAAUAGGGGAGCCGGAGGGAAACCGAGUCUUAAUUGGGCGUUAAGUUGCAGGGUAUAGACCCGAAACCCGGUGAUCUAGCCAUGGGCAGGUUGAAGGUUGGGUAACACUAACUGGAGGACCGAACCGACUAAUGUUGAAAAAUUAGCGGAUGACCUGUGGCUGGGGGUGAAAGGCCAAUCAAACCGGGAGAUAGCUGGUUCUCCCCGAAAGCUAUUUAGGUAGCGCCUCGUG
This 843-nucleotide ribosomal RNA is filed under the name Salmonella enterica. RNAcentral's name for it is "partial 23S ribosomal RNA". It matches the Rfam family "Bacterial large subunit ribosomal RNA", at positions 1 to 886 of the family's 2925-position model. The record is from RNAcentral. Lineage: Bacteria; Pseudomonadati; Pseudomonadota; Gammaproteobacteria; Enterobacterales; Enterobacteriaceae.